CUCCUACGGGAGGCAGCAGUGGGGAAUCUUGCGCAAUGGGCGAAAGCCUGACGCAGCCAUGCCGCGUGAAUGAUGAAGGUCUUAGGAUUGUAAAAUUCUUUCACCGGGGACGAUAAUGACGGUACCCGGAGAAGAAGCCCCGGCUAACUUCGUGCCAGCAGCCGCGGUAAUACGAAGGGGGCUAGCGUUGCUCGGAAUUACUGGGCGUAAAGGGAGCGUAGGCGGACAUUUAAGUCAGGGGUGAAAUCCCAGAGCUCAACUCUGGAACUGCCUUUGAUACUGGGUGUCUUGAGUGUGAGAGAGGUAUGUGGAACUCCGAGUGUAGAGGUGAAAUUCGUAGAUAUUCGGAAGAACACCAGUGGCGAAGGCGACAUACUGGCUCAUUACUGACGCUGAGGCUCGAAAGCGUGGGGAGCAAACAGGAUUAGAUACCCUGGUAGUCCACGCCGUAAACGAUGAUUGCUAGUUGUCGGGCUGCAUGCAGUUCGGUGACGCAGCUAACGCAUUAAGCA
RNAcentral lists this ribosomal RNA (512 nucleotides) under uncultured bacterium. RNAcentral's name for it is "bacterial SSU rRNA". It matches the Rfam family "Bacterial small subunit ribosomal RNA", at positions 336 to 866 of the family's 1533-position model. The record is from RNAcentral.